GCGGCAGGCCUAACACAUGCAAGUCGAGCGGAUGACGGGAGCUUGCUCCUUGAUUCAGCGGCGGACGGGUGAGUAAUGCCUAGGAAUCUGCCUGGUAGUGGGGGACAACGUUUCGAAAGGAACGCUAAUACCGCAUACGUCCUACGGGAGAAAGCAGGGGACCUUCGGGCCUUGCGCUAUCAGAUGAGCCUAGGUCGGAUUAGCUAGUUGGUGGGGUAAUGGCUCACCAAGGCGACGAUCCGUAACUGGUCUGAGAGGAUGAUCAGUCACACUGGAACUGAGACACGGUCCAGACUCCUACGGGAGGCAGCAGUGGGGAAUAUUGGACAAUGGGCGAAAGCCUGAUCCAGCCAUGCCGCGUGUGUGAAGAAGGUCUUCGGAUUGUAAAGCACUUUAAGUUGGGAGGAAGGGCAGUAAGUUAAUACCUUGCUGUUUUGACGUUACCGACAGAAUAAGCACCGGCUAACUCUGUGCCAGCAGCCGCGGUAAUACAGAGGGUGCAAGCGUUAAUCGGAAUUACUGGGCGUAAAGCGCGCGUAGGUGGUUUGUUAAGUUGGAUGUGAAAGCCCCGGGCUCAACCUGGGAACUGCAUCCAAAACUGGCAAGCUAGAGUACGGUAGAGGGUGGUGGAAUUUCCUGUGUAGCGGUGAAAUGCGUAGAUAUAGGAA
RNAcentral lists this ribosomal RNA (668 nucleotides) under uncultured Pseudomonas sp. Its description in RNAcentral is "bacterial SSU rRNA". It matches the Rfam family "Bacterial small subunit ribosomal RNA", at positions 39 to 702 of the family's 1533-position model. Lineage: Bacteria; Pseudomonadati; Pseudomonadota; Gammaproteobacteria; Pseudomonadales; Pseudomonadaceae. The record is from RNAcentral.